GAUGAACGCUGGCGGCGUGCCUAAUACAUGCAAGUCGAGCGAACGGACGCGAAGCUUGCUUCUCUGAUGUUAGCGGCGGACGGGUGAGUAACACGUGGAUAACCUACCUAUAAUACUGGGAUAACUUCGGGAAACCGGAGCUAAUACCGGAUAAUAUUUUGAACCGCAUUGUUCAAAAGUGAAAGACGGUCUUGCUGUCACUUAUAGAUGGAUCCGCGCUGCAUUAGCUAGUUGGUAAGGUAAUGGCUUACCAAGGCAACGAUGCAUAGCCGACCUGUGAGGGUGAUCGCCCACACUGGAACUGAGACGCGGUCCAGACUCCUACGGGAGGCAGCAGUAGGGAAUGUUCCGCAACGGGUGAAAGUCUGACGGAGCAACGCCGAGUGAGUGAUGAAGGUCUUCGGAUCGUAAAACUCUGUUAUUAGGGAAGAACAUAUGUGUAAGUAACUGUGCACAGCUUGACGGUACCUAAUCAGAAAGCCACGGCUAACUACGUG
RNAcentral lists this ribosomal RNA (497 nucleotides) under uncultured bacterium. RNAcentral's name for it is "partial 16S ribosomal RNA". It matches the Rfam family "Bacterial small subunit ribosomal RNA", at positions 28 to 507 of the family's 1533-position model. The record is from RNAcentral.